Small nucleolar RNA from Callorhinchus milii (elephant shark), 67 nucleotides. Lineage: Eukaryota; Metazoa; Chordata; Chondrichthyes; Chimaeriformes; Callorhinchidae. The record is from Ensembl.
GAAUGUGAUGAUCAAACUUUUUCUUCACUUUGACCUGAUAUUUGGUGAUGAAAACUGAUGACUGAUA